AUAUUGCACAAUGGGCGAAAGCCUGAUGCAGCAACGCCGCGGGAGUGAUGAAGGCCUUCGGGUCGUAAAACUCUGUCCUCAAGGACGAUAAGGACGGUACUGGAGGAGGAAGCCCCGGCUAACUACGUGCCAGCAGCCGCGGUAAUACGUAGGGGGCGAGCGUUAUCCGGAUUUACUGGGCGUAAAGGGUGCGUAGGCGGUCUUUCAAGUCAGGAGUGAAAGGCUACGGCGCAACCGUAGUAAGCUCUUGAAACUGGGAGACUGUAGGGCAGGAGAGGAGAGUGGAAUUCAUAGUGUAGCGCUGAAAUGCGUAGAUAUUAGGAGGAACACCAGUUGCGAAGACGGCACUGUGGGCUGCAACUGACGCUGAGGCACUAAAGGGUCGGGCGCAAACAGGAUUAGUUACGCUGGUCGUCCCCGCGGUAAACGAUGAGUACUAGGUGUGGGGGGAUA
RNAcentral lists this ribosomal RNA (453 nucleotides) under Clostridioides difficile. Its description in RNAcentral is "bacterial SSU rRNA". It matches the Rfam family "Bacterial small subunit ribosomal RNA", at positions 361 to 832 of the family's 1533-position model. The record is from RNAcentral. Lineage: Bacteria; Bacillati; Bacillota; Clostridia; Peptostreptococcales; Peptostreptococcaceae.